GUGCAGCCGCCGCGGUUAUACCGGCAGCCCGAGUGGUGGCCGCUCUUCUUGGGCCUCAAGCGUCCGUAGCUGGGUCUGACAGUCCAUCGGGAAAUCCACUCGCUCAACGAGUGGCCGUCCGGUGGAAACUCCACACCUUGGGACCGGAAGGCUCGAAGGGUACGGCCGGGGUAGGAGUGAAAUCCUGUAAUCCCGUCCGGACCACCGAUGGCGAAAGCACUUCGAGAAAACGGAUCCGACAGUGAGGGACGAAAGCUAAGAUCGCGAACCGGAUUAGAAACCCUAGUAGUCC
Molecule: ribosomal RNA, 292 nt
Filed under: uncultured bacterium
Lineage: Bacteria
Description: partial 16S ribosomal RNA
Rfam family: Archaeal small subunit ribosomal RNA
Source: RNAcentral